AUUGAACGCUGGCGGCAGGCCUAACACAUGCAAGUCGAGCGGAUGAAGGGAGCUUGCUCCUGGAUUCAGCGGCGGACGGGUGAGUAAUGCCUAGGAAUCUGCCUGGUAGUGGGGGAUAACGUCCGGAAACGGGCGCUAAUACCGCAUACGUCCUGAGGGAGAAAGUGGGGGAUCUUCGGACCUCACGCUAUCAGAUGAGCCUAGGUCGGAUUAGCUAGUUGGUGGGGUAAAGGCCUACCAAGGCGACGAUCCGUAACUGGUCUGGGAGGAUGAUCAGUCACACUGGAACUGAGACACGGUCCAGACUCCUACGGGAGGCAGCAGUGGGGAAUAUUGGACAAAGGGCGAAAGCCUGAUCCAGCCAUGCCGCGUGUGUGAAGAAGGUCUUCGGAUUGUAAAGCACUUUAAGUUGGGAGGAAGGGCAGUAAGUUAAUACCUUGCUGUUUUGACGUUACCAACAGAAUAAGCACCGGCUAACUUCGUG
Molecule: ribosomal RNA, 484 nt
Filed under: uncultured bacterium
Lineage: Bacteria
Description: partial 16S ribosomal RNA
Rfam family: Bacterial small subunit ribosomal RNA
Source: RNAcentral